RNAcentral lists this transfer RNA (67 nucleotides) under Ismarus sp. ZJUH_2016020. RNAcentral describes it as "tRNA-Leu". Lineage: Eukaryota; Metazoa; Arthropoda; Insecta; Hymenoptera; Diapriidae. The record is from RNAcentral.
AUUAAUAUGGCAGAAAUUAGUGCAAUAGAUUUAAAUUCUAUUUAUAAAUAAAUUUAUUUUAUUAAUA